GCACUGCAGUUGGACCCUUCGGGACUGGACAUUGAAAUUGACCUGGCUACGUACCAGAAUGGAAUUGCACGCUGGAUCAAGAACGUGCAGAAUCAGAGACAUCUUGAGAUGAGUGCCAUCAUGGAGGAUAGAAUGCUCUCUUCUCCUGGAGGUGACGUUGCUCCUCACUGGAAAGCCAAGAGUCUGGAUUUGGAUACCUCUCGCAGCUUUAGAGCAAUGUCCACCCCGCUCAGUAGUACAACUAGAUCUCAUUGGAAAACAAGAAAGUCAGACAC
Asterias rubens (European starfish) is the source of this 275-nucleotide long non-coding RNA. RefSeq lists it as uncharacterized. Lineage: Eukaryota; Metazoa; Echinodermata; Asteroidea; Forcipulatida; Asteriidae. The transcript is spliced from 3 exons. The record is from RefSeq and is a predicted model, not a curated record.